Long non-coding RNA from Coregonus clupeaformis (lake whitefish), 1919 nucleotides. RefSeq lists it as uncharacterized. The transcript has 3 exons. The record is from RefSeq and is a predicted model, not a curated record. NCBI's taxonomy places the organism in Eukaryota, Metazoa, Chordata, Actinopteri, Salmoniformes, Salmonidae.
UCCGACUGUAUGCAGCGCUUCAUGGAGCGCGUGGCUGCGAGCACAUGGAAAGGAGGUCGAGAUUUGAGUUUGAAAGACACGCACCUAUUCAUCCGAAAUGGAAUAUAAAUAAUAAUGCACAAAAUAGAGUCAGAGAACGGGAAGGCUGUUGAAGACCCUUGCCCUUCUCCUCUACUCAUCUGUCAAUUAACCAGGAUCAGCAGAUCUCUAAUGAAGAUCAAGACAUGGACCUGGAUGGAAGUUAUGAAAAGCUCAAUUGGAUCCGAAAGAAAUUGAGAGAGUUAAACAAACAGAGAUCUCAUUAAAAGAAACCGCUGUCAACUCCGUCCUCCCACUCCCUCCCUCCACAGGGGGACUGGAAUGUCCUGUCAUCCAUUUCCUCCCACUCAGAAACACUGUGCUGGUGUGGUGAUACCAUCUUGAGGUACAGGAUCUAGGUAAUGAAUGAACUGGGAUGCCCACACACUGACGAUGGGACCCUGGACAACCUGACACCAAGUGUGGAAAAGGAUGACUGACUUUCCCACCAAAGUCCCGUAUCAUCGGAGAUGGCUACAGCCGAUUGAACACACACACACUCUCUCACAUUCCACACAGGCAGAUGCCUUGCCGCACACAGGACUCAAACAUACACUGACAUACUGCAUACAAAACUUAUUCACACACUAUAAUGCACAUGCCACAAGAUGGUUUGUGUAUGCAGAGCACUGUGUUGCGGCAUUGCUGAGGGUGACAGGUUUCUUUCCCCCAAGAGGCUGCUCUUGGUUUUAUUAAGGUAUUACUGUACUGUAUAGCAGCUGAAGAUAUUCUACCCACACAGUCUAGUUUAGGACUCACUGAAGGAGAUUCUGAAGAUUAGUAAUUGAGAAAUCACCUCCCUAUGGUACUGAUUCAUUUGAGCUCUUACUGGAAGGACCUUUAUGUAAACUGAAAGUGAAGGUAUAAAUAUAUUAUGCGAAUAACAUUUUGUCUGUGUCUUCAUGUUUGUGGUACAAACCAAAGACUUGUGCUGUCUGUGUGAAAAAUAGGAGUUCUAUCUUUACAGUUCUCACUUUUCCUUCCCAUGACUUCACAGUCUCUGUGAAUGGAAUCAUGUUCUAUAGUUGCCUAACCUGUUUCAAUGGGUUGGCUUAACAUACACGUGCAGUAUAGUGAGCCAAAGAGGAGAGAGGAUCAGCUUUCACACUGAAAGGCAUAUUUGUGUUAACACUGUUCACAUACUCAUACAUUACCAUACAUUAUCUGUUGAUGAUCUGCAGUGGUAUGUGACUGAAUUUCCAUACAUUUGAUAACAACAGUUUCACACUGCAAAGCAAAUUUGUGUUCACACUAUUCACAAAUACAGUAUAUUUAUACAUUAUCUGUAACUUAGCCGUAGUGGAACCUGACUGAAUUUCAAUACAUGUGAUAAUGUCUAUGCUAUCUUGAUUUCAGCCAUUAAAGCAAGGCCUACAGGGCAGGGUCAUGGUCACUAUUUGAGUUACAAGGGUCAAAUCAGGGUCAUGUCUGUUACUCACCCCGGCAACACAAAGCUCAAGGAAAAGGUUGUUAACUUACAGCUGUCUUACGGCACAUGAACAUACUCAGAAUCGCUAUUCAUGUCAUAAACAAGUACAACAGCCACCGUGGGGAAAAACAACUGCCCUUCGCCAUCUGCGCCCAUUCAACAUAGGCUAUAUUUACGUAGUUAUUACCUCUAAACAAAAAAACUUUACAGGGUUCUCAUAGGCUUACAAUGUUGUUUUGAUUAUUGCUUGAACAGUCGCUAAGAUUAUAUUUUGUUUGUGAUAGUUGCAAAAUACCUAUCAUUGACAUAGGAUGUAACAAAGCUAGCCAAAGUGCCAUUUUACAGGGUGAAGUUGAAGUGUUUUUUAAGUAUAAUGCAGUUGAUUUACGACGAUGACACAAACAUUAUAUUA